This 694-nucleotide ribosomal RNA is filed under the name uncultured bacterium. RNAcentral's name for it is "bacterial SSU rRNA". It matches the Rfam family "Bacterial small subunit ribosomal RNA", at positions 140 to 828 of the family's 1533-position model. The record is from RNAcentral.
GGGAUAAUCGGGAGAAAUCCCGUUUAAUACCGCGUAACGCCGCGGGGCUGCAUGGCCCUGCGGCCAAAGGGAGCGAUUCCGGCAACGGAUGGGCAUGCGUGACAUUAGCUAGUUGGCGGGGCAACGGCCCACCAAGGCGACGAUGUCUAGGGGUUCUGAGAGGAAGGUCCCCCACACUGGUACUGAGACACGGACCAGACUCCUACGGGAGGCAGCAGUGAGGAAUAUUGGUCAAUGGGCGCGAGCCUGAACCAGCCAAGUCGCGUGAGGGAUGACGGCCCUACGGGUUGUAAACCUCUUUUGUCGGGGAGCAAAUUCCGCCACGUGUGGCGGAGUCGAGAGUACCCGAAGAAAAAGCAUCGGCUAACUCCGUGCCAGCAGCCGCGGUAAUACGGAGGAUGCGAGCGUUAUCCGGAUUUAUUGGGUUUAAAGGGUGCGUAGGCGGACUGUCAAGUCAGCGGUAAAAUACGGGGGCUCAACCUCCGCCCGCCGUUGAAACUGACGGUCUUGAGUGGGCGAGAAGUAUGCGGAAUGCGUGGUGUAGCGGUGAAAUGCAUAGAUAUCACGCAGAACUCCGAUUGCGAAGGCAGCAUACCGGCGCCCAACUGACGCUGAAGCACGAAAGUGUGGGUAUCGAACAGGAUUAGAUACCCUGGUAGUCCACGCAGUAAACGAUGCAUAAUAGCUGUCCGGG